This is a long non-coding RNA of Glossina fuscipes, 1136 nucleotides long. RefSeq lists it as uncharacterized. Lineage: Eukaryota; Metazoa; Arthropoda; Insecta; Diptera; Glossinidae. The record is from RefSeq and is a predicted model, not a curated record. The transcript has 3 exons.
GGAUAAAUUCGCGAUUAUAUUUAUAACUUCACACAUAUAAAUUAAUUAUAUGUCUUAAAUUGUUAAAGCAUUAAACGUAGAAAAAGAAAAAAAAAAGAGAGUGAAAUUUUCUUUUUAGCUUUUUGUCUUGAGUUUUUUUUUUUAUUGAUUCAAUGUUAAUUGAAAAUGUAAUCUAAAUAUACUACACUUAACAAAAUGUAACAAUUAAUUGCGAAACGUUUAAUGCAUCAUUAAUAGCGCGCGUCAAAUUAAAGGCAUUUGAUAGGAAAAAAAAGAAAAAAAAAAAAAAACAAAAAAAAACUGUGAAAAGCCUACAUGACGUUAAAGUAAAGCUACAGAUUCCUAAUUCCUAAUUAAAAAGCGAAUUUGAUCUAUAUGCUUUUGUGUUUGUGUGUGUGCGUGUGUUUGUGUUAAAGGGAAAUCCAUUUACAAAUUAUAGAGCACACAGUCGAAAAACAAGAUAUUGAGGUUUCAGGUUAAUUUCCAUCGUCCUUUUUGGCUUAAGUUGUAUUCGCAAUUAACCAAAUUUCAGCCACAAUCCUAGAAGGGAGAAGCUUUCUUAGUUUUUCUUACAUUGUCGGUCAUUGCUUUGAGAUGCUUAGCUCGUCUUCAACACCAACCUGCACGCAAGAAUCUCCAAUGUUGCCGUCCAAUUGAAAGAAAUUUUUAACUGUGUUACUGUGGUCACGGUUCUGCACAGCUCUUCAACGUAUCUCUGUCCAAAAUUUUGAGUUGAUUGAGUCCUUCCUAUCUAAGAUUCGGGAUCUUUUUCUCACUGUGAGUCUAUGAGGCUCAUCGCGGUAAGAUUCAUUAGAAAAAGGAAGCGGGUUAAGAUAAACUGACAAGUGCUAAAGUUAGUGUUAAUGUUAAAGUUAGAGUUAGUGUUAAAAAAGUUCUUUUCGAAAGUCAAUGUAAAAUAAUUAAAAUAUUUAAAUUCGAAUGAAUCUUAAAAGCUUACCGCGGCCAGAUUAGGGUUAAUUAUUGCAGCAUUUACGACAUUUGAUAUAGAAUUUUUUUAUGAAACUUCCUAUAAAUUUAUGUUAUGUUAUAUAAUAGGAUACCAUGUAAGCCUAAUCCUCAUGUGAGUGUAAACAUUAAUCAUCAUUCUUGUCGAGAAGUAAUUAACAAAACUUUCA